This 576-nucleotide ribosomal RNA is filed under the name uncultured bacterium. RNAcentral describes it as "bacterial SSU rRNA". It matches the Rfam family "Bacterial small subunit ribosomal RNA", at positions 102 to 674 of the family's 1533-position model. The record is from RNAcentral.
ACGGGUGAGUAAUACAUCGGAACGUAUCCUGGAGUGGGGGAUAGCCCGGCGAAAGCCGGAUUAAUACCGCAUACGCUCUGAGGAGGAAAGCGGGGGACCUUCGGGCCUCGCGCUCAAGGGGCGGCCGAUGGCGGAUUAGGUAGUUGGUGGGGUAAAGGCCUACCAAGCCGACGAUCCGUAGCUGGUCUGAGAGGACGACCAGCCACACUGGGACUGAGACACGGCCCAGACUCCUACGGGAGGCAGCAGUGGGGAAUUUUGGACAAUGGGGGCAACCCUGAUCCAGCAAUGCCGCGUGUGUGAAGAAGGCCUUCGGGUUGUAAAGCACUUUUGUCCGGAAAGAAAUCAUCGGGGCCAAUACCCCUGGUGGAUGACGGUACCGGAAGAAUAAGCACCGGCUAACUACGUGCCAGCAGCCGCGGUAAUACGUAGGGUGCGAGCGUUGAUCGGAAUUACUGGGCGUAAAGCGUGCGCAGGCGGUGCUGUAAGACCGAUGUGAAAUCCCCGGGCUUAACCUGGGAACUGCAUUGGUGACUGCAGCGCUGGAGUAUGGCAGAGGGGGGUGGAAUUCCACGU